UGCAGUCGAGCGAACAGAUAAGGAGCUUGCUCCUUUGACGUUAGCGGCGGACGGGUGAGUAACACGUGGGUAACCUACCUAUAAGACUGGGAUAACUUCGGGAAACCGGAGCUAAUACCGGAUAACAUUUGGAACCGCAUGGUUCUAAAGUGAAAGAUGGUUUUGCUAUCACUUAUAGAUGGACCCGCGCCGUAUUAGCUAGUUGGUAAGGUAACGGCUUACCAAGGCGACGAUACGUAGCCGACCUGAGAGGGUGAUCGGCCACACUGGAACUGAGACACGGUCCAGACUCCUACGGGAGGCAGCAGUAGGGAAUCUUCCGCAAUGGGCGAAAGCCUGACGGAGCAACGCCGCGUGAGUGAUGAAGGGUUUCGGCUCGUAAAACUCUGUUAUUAGGGAAGAACAAACGUGUAAGUAACUGUGCACGUCUUGACGGUACCUAAUCAGAAAGCCACGGUUAACUACGUGCCAGCAGCCGCGGUAAUACGUAGGUGGCAAGCGUUAUCCGGAAUUAUUGGGCGUAAAGCGCGCGUAGGCGGUUUCUUAAGUCUGAUGUGAAAGCCCACGGCUCAACCGUGGAGGGUCAUUGGAAACUGGGAAACUUGAGUGCAGAAGAGGAAAGUGGAAUUCCAUGUGUAGCGGUGAAAUGCGCAGAGAUAUGGAGGAACACCAGUGGCGAAGGCGACUUUCUGGUCUGUAACUGACGCUGAUGUGCGAAAGCGUGGGGAUCAAACAGGAUUAGAUACCCUGGUAGUCCACGCCGUAAACGAUGAGUGCUAAGUGUUAGGGGGUUUCCGCCCCUUAGUGCUGCAGCUAACGCAUUAAGCACUCCGCCUGGGGAGUACGACCGCAAGGUUGAAACUCAAAGGAAUUGACGGGGACCCGCACAAGCGGUGGAGCAUGUGGUUUAAUUCGAAGCAACGCGAAGAACCUUACCAAAUCUUGACAUCCUUUGAAAACUCUAGAGAUAGAGCCUUCCCCUUCGGGGGACAAAGUGACAGGUGGUGCAUGGUUGUCGUCAGCUCGUGUCGUGAGAUGUUGGGUUAAGUCCCGCAACGAGCGCAACCCUUAAGCUUAGUUGCCAUCAUUAAGUUGGGCACUCUAGGUUGACUGCCGGUGACAAACCGGAGGAAGGUGGGGAUGACGUCAAAUCAUCAUGCCCCUUAUGAUUUGGGCUACACACGUGCUACAAUGGACAAUACAAAGGGCAGCUAAACCGCGAGGUCAUGCAAAUCCCAUAAAGUUGUUCUCAGUUCGGAUUGUAGUCUGCAACUCGACUACAUGAAGCUGGAAUCGCUAGUAAUCGUAGAUCAGCAUGCUACGGUGAAUACGUUCCCGGGUCUUGUACACACCGCCCGUCACACCACGAGAGUUUGUAACACCCGAAGCCGGUGGAGUAACCAUUUAUGGAGCUAGCCGU
Molecule: ribosomal RNA, 1420 nt
Filed under: Staphylococcus saprophyticus
Lineage: Bacteria; Bacillati; Bacillota; Bacilli; Caryophanales; Staphylococcaceae
Description: bacterial SSU rRNA
Rfam family: Bacterial small subunit ribosomal RNA
Source: RNAcentral